UGCAUAUCAAUAAGCGGAGGAAAAGAAACCAACAGGGAUUGCCUCAGUAACGGCGAGUGAAGCGGCAAAAGCUCAAAUUUGAAAUCCCCCCGGGGAGUUGUAAUUUGAAGAUUGCGUCUUGGAGGCGACCGUGUCUAUGUUCCUUGGAACAGGACGUCACAGAGGGUGAGAAUCCCGUGCGGCACGGCCCCCGGCUCCUUAUAAGGCGCUCUCGACGAGUCGAGUUGUUUGGGAAUGCAGCUCAAAGUGGGUGGUAAAUUCCAUCUAAAGCUAAAUACAGGCGAGAGACCGAUAGCGAACAAGUACAGUGAUGGAAAGAUGAAAAGCACUUUGAAAAGAGAGUGAAACAGCACGUGAAAUUGUUGAAAGGGAAGGGCAUGCCGUCAGAUUGUCAGUGUGGGUAAGAAGCGGGGUACAAAGACUGUGGAACGUGGCCCUCGGGUGUUAUAGCCGCAGUUCAUGCCCCGUCUCUUUCCGAGGCCUGCUUUGAGGACACCGACGUAAUGACGGUACGCCGCC
RNAcentral lists this ribosomal RNA (519 nucleotides) under Kodamaea ohmeri. RNAcentral describes it as "eukaryotic LSU rRNA". It matches the Rfam family "Eukaryotic large subunit ribosomal RNA", at positions 37 to 649 of the family's 3401-position model. Lineage: Eukaryota; Fungi; Ascomycota; Pichiomycetes; Serinales; Debaryomycetaceae. The record is from RNAcentral.